RNAcentral lists this ribosomal RNA (461 nucleotides) under uncultured Cyanobium sp. Its description in RNAcentral is "bacterial SSU rRNA". It matches the Rfam family "Bacterial small subunit ribosomal RNA", at positions 30 to 539 of the family's 1533-position model. The record is from RNAcentral. Lineage: Bacteria; Bacillati; Cyanobacteriota; Cyanophyceae; Synechococcales; Prochlorococcaceae.
UGAACGCUGGCGGCGUGCUUAACACAUGCAAGUCGAACGAACCUUCGGGUUAGUGGCGGACGGGUGAGUAACGCGUGGGAAUCUGCCCUCAGGAGGGGGAUAACGGUUGGAAACGACCGCUAAUACCCCAUAUGCCGAGAGGUGAAAUGAAUUUCGCCUGAGGAUGAGCCCGCGUCUGAUUAGCUAGUUGGUGUGGUAAUGGCGCACCAAGGCUUCGACCAGUAGCUGGUCUGAGAGGAUGAUCAGCCACACUGGGACUGAGACACGGCCCAGACUCCUACGGGAGGCAGCAGUGGGGAAUUUUCCGCAAUGGGCGAAAGCCUGACGGAGCAACGCCGCGUGAGGGAUGAAGGCCUCUGGGCUGUAAACCUCUUUUAUCAAGGAAGAAGAUCUGACGGUACUUGAUGAAUAAGCCACGGCUAAUUCCGUGCCAGCAGCCGCGGUAAUCUGAUGGCGCGAGG